This 729-nucleotide long non-coding RNA is filed under the name Marmota monax (woodchuck). The record is from RNAcentral. Lineage: Eukaryota; Metazoa; Chordata; Mammalia; Rodentia; Sciuridae.
CCUGCUCUCUGACCACCCCGCGCUCCUGAUUCCUCCCCAGCCUGUGUCGAAGCCACAACUUUCAGGAGCAUGGACUGAAGGCGCCCUCGCCCCAGCGCCCCUCUAAGAUCCUUUGUGUUUUUCUGCAUUUCCUCCUGCCUUUUCUAUUCUGGGGAGGCCCUUCGAUUCCCCCACCUCUGCCCUCCCCUUCCCUGAUCGCAAACAUGCCUCCUUCCUUCCCAGGGCCCUGGAAGGAGCUGCCUGCCUGAAUCCCAGAUCUGCAGCGAGUGAUCAGCCCACCUCCGCCCGCCGGCUCUCCGGCUGCGCUGUGCUGCCAACUCAAGUUGGAGAUCCUCAGCUGCUCGUCGUCGCCGCCCGCGGUCCCUGCCUGCCCAGGGCCCCGGGCAUCCUCGCUGUCUGCCCACUCCUCGCUCUGCCCGCUCCGCUUGCUCCUGUUUGAAUAGCAACCAGCCCUUCUCCAAGGAGAGGAUUGUCCCCAGCGUGGCUUUGCAUCCUCAGUCACUUUUUGAGAUUUUCCGGGGUGUGGGGAGGUAGGGGGUGGUGCUUGGCGGCUUCCCGGAUUCCAGGGGGACUCCCCGCUGAGCGUGAAGGGCCCGUGGAUCUGGCGAGCCAGGGAAGCACCUAGGCUUAGCGGAGGCUCCCCCGGAAGGACAUAGAAUCUCCCGAUUUUUCUGUCUUCUCAUCCACCAGUUCUUGGGUACUUGGAGGUGGGGGUUAUCUAAAUAAAAA